Molecule: transfer RNA, 77 nt
Filed under: Candidatus Uhrbacteria bacterium CG10_big_fil_rev_8_21_14_0_10_50_16
Lineage: Bacteria; Candidatus Uhriibacteriota
Also listed under: 1 other name
Description: tRNA-Val
Rfam family: tRNA
About the family: Transfer RNA (tRNA) molecules are approximately 80 nucleotides in length. Their secondary structure includes four short double-helical elements and three loops (D, anti-codon, and T loops). Further hydrogen bonds mediate the characteristic L-shaped molecular structure. tRNAs have two regions of fundamental functional importance: the anti-codon, which is responsible for specific mRNA codon recognition, and the 3' end, to which the tRNAs corresponding amino acid is attached (by aminoacyl-tRNA synthetases). tRNAs cope with the degeneracy of the genetic code in two manners: having more than one tRNA (with a specific anti-codon) for a particular amino acid; and 'wobble' base-pairing, i.e. permitting non-standard base-pairing at the 3rd anti-codon position.
Source: RNAcentral
GGGCGUAUAGCUCAGUUGGUUAGAGCGCCACAUUGACAUUGUGGAGGUCUCCGGUUCGAGUCCGGGUACGCCCACCA